RNAcentral lists this ribosomal RNA (426 nucleotides) under uncultured bacterium. RNAcentral describes it as "bacterial SSU rRNA". It matches the Rfam family "Bacterial small subunit ribosomal RNA", at positions 354 to 796 of the family's 1533-position model. The record is from RNAcentral.
GGGAGGAAUAUUGCACAAUGGGGGAAACCCAGAUGCAGCAACGCCGCGUGAGUGAAGAAGGCCUUCGGGUCGUAAAGCUCUUUUCUGAGGGAUGAGGAAGGACAGUACCUUGGGAAUAAGUCUCGGCUAACUACGUGCCAGCAGCCGCGGUAAUACGUAGGAGGCGAGCGUUAUCCGGAUUUAUUGGGCGUAAAGGGCAAGUAGGCGGUUGGGUAAGUUGGGUGUGACAUCUCCCGGCUCAACUGGGAGGGGUCAUUCAAGACUGCCUGACUGGAGGGCAGGAGAGGGAAGUGGAAUUCCUAGUGUAGCGGUGGAAUGCUCAGAUAUUAGGAAGAACACCAGUGGCGAAGGCGGCUUUCUGGCCUGCACCUGACGCUGAGAGGCGAAAGCUAGGGGAGCGAACGGGCUUAGAAACCCUAGUAGUCC